GUAAAGGGCAUGUAGGUGUCCCGAUAAGCUCUGGGUGAAAGCUCUGCGCUCAACGCGGAAAAGAAUCAGAGAACUAUCGGGAUUGAGUUCAGGAGAAGAGAGUGGAAUUCUCGGUGUAGCGGUGAAAUGCGUAGAUAUCGAGAAGAACACCAGCGGCGAAGGCGGCUCUCUAUUCUGAAACUGACACUCAAAUGCGAAAGCGUGGGUAGCGAAUGGGAUUAGAUACCCCANUAGUCCACGCUGUANACGAUGUGCACUUGGUGUAUUCCUUUUUAAGGGGUGUGCCGGANCUAACGCGUUAAGUGCACCGCCUGGGGAGUACGGCCGCAAGGCUAAAACUCAAAGGAAUUGACGGGGGCCCGCACAAGCGGUGGAGCAUGUGGUUUAAUACGACGCAACGCGUAGAACCUUACUAGGGCUUGACAUGCAGCUGCACGCCCGCUGAAAGGUGGG
RNAcentral lists this ribosomal RNA (453 nucleotides) under uncultured bacterium. Its description in RNAcentral is "bacterial SSU rRNA". It matches the Rfam family "Bacterial small subunit ribosomal RNA", at positions 560 to 1012 of the family's 1533-position model. The record is from RNAcentral.